This 644-nucleotide long non-coding RNA is filed under the name Helianthus annuus (common sunflower). RNAcentral's name for it is "hypothetical non coding rna". The record is from RNAcentral. Lineage: Eukaryota; Viridiplantae; Streptophyta; Magnoliopsida; Asterales; Asteraceae.
UUGUUUUCCAAUACACACAAAGCUUUUGAUCAAAACCUUUAUGGUGAGUUAUGAUCCGGGUGGGUUGCAAUGGCCAAUGCUACUAGUGAAAUUCUAUGGAUGCGUUGAUUGCUUGAGGCACUAGAAACAAAACAACAUGGAACUACGCAACUCUACUGUGACAACAAUGCAGCUCGACACAUCGCAAAUAAUCCAGUCUUCCAAGAACGAACAAAGCACAUGGAAAUGGACUACUAUUUUGUCAAGGAACGAGUUGAAUCGCAUGAAAUCAAACCCCUCUAUGUUGACAAGAAGGCACAAAUAGCCGACCUUCUCACAAAGGCUUUGGGGACCAAACAACUCGAGUUUCUGCUGGUCAAGAUGGGCAUGCGAAAUCUGCAUGCUCCACCUUGAGGGGGAGUAUUGAGAUUGCAUUAUUUUAUGCAUAUUUCCCUCUCCGUGUUUUACUCUCCAUCAAGGAUCCAUCCUUAUCUCCAGCAUAUUGAUAGCCGUGCACGUCAUUUCCAUUUUAUUAGUUUCCAUCUUGAGAUUCUUCUAUUGUCUAUUUAGGCUUGUAACUUCUUGUAAUCCUGUAUCAAUUGUUGUCCAAUACACUCAAAUCUUUUGAUCAAAACCUUUAGUUAAUAACCAAAUAGUUUUAUAUU